GGAAGCGUCGCCUAACUGGUCAGGGCACUGCACUGCUAACGCAGCGGGGUUCACCAAAAACCUUUGUGAGUUCGAAUCUCACCGCUUCCGCCA
This 93-nucleotide transfer RNA is filed under the name Acidobacteriota bacterium. RNAcentral describes it as "tRNA-Ser". It matches the Rfam family "tRNA". From Rfam's summary of the family: Transfer RNA (tRNA) molecules are approximately 80 nucleotides in length. Their secondary structure includes four short double-helical elements and three loops (D, anti-codon, and T loops). The record is from RNAcentral. Lineage: Bacteria; Pseudomonadati; Acidobacteriota.